UACGAAGGGUGCUAGCGUUGUUCGGAAUCACUGGGCGUAAAGCGCGCGUAGGCGGCUUCUCAAGUCAGGGGUGAAAUCCUUGGGCUCAACCCAAGAAUUGCCUCUGAAACUGUGGAGCUGGAGUACUGGAGGGGAUAGCGGAAUUGCUAAUGUAGAGGUGAAAUUCGUAGAUAUUAGCAGGAACACCGGUGGCGAAGGCGGCUAUCUGGACAGUAACUGACGCUGAGGCGCGAAAGUGUGGGGAUCAAAC
This 250-nucleotide ribosomal RNA is filed under the name uncultured bacterium. Its description in RNAcentral is "partial 16S ribosomal RNA". It matches the Rfam family "Bacterial small subunit ribosomal RNA", at positions 524 to 773 of the family's 1533-position model. The record is from RNAcentral.